RNAcentral lists this unclassified non-coding RNA (191 nucleotides) under uncultured Cladophialophora. Its description in RNAcentral is "sequence contains ITS1". The record is from RNAcentral. Lineage: Eukaryota; Fungi; Ascomycota; Eurotiomycetes; Chaetothyriales; Herpotrichiellaceae.
ACGAGUUAGGGUCUCUCAGGCCCGACCUCCCAACCCUUUGUUUACUGAACCUCUGUUGCUUCGGCGGACCCGUCUCACGACCGCCCGAGGACCGCCGAGAGGUGUCCUCUGGCCCGUGUCCGCCGAUAGCCAACCACUUACAACCCUGAGUAAAUCGUGUCAUUUGUCUAAGUCAUUGAUUAAAUAAAGCA